RNAcentral lists this ribosomal RNA (754 nucleotides) under uncultured bacterium. Its description in RNAcentral is "bacterial SSU rRNA". It matches the Rfam family "Bacterial small subunit ribosomal RNA", at positions 60 to 817 of the family's 1533-position model. The record is from RNAcentral.
AGUCGAGCGGGGACUUCGGUCCUAGCGGCGGACGGGUGAGUAAUACUUGGGAAUCUGCCUAGUACUGGGGGACAACGUUUCGAAAGGAACGCUAAUACCGCAUACGCCCUACGGGGGAAAGGGGGGGAUCUUCGGACCUCUCGCUAUUACAUGAGCCCAAGUCGGAUUAGCUAGUUGGUGGGGUAAAGGCCUACCAAGGCGACGAUCCGUAACUGGUCUGAUAGGAUGAUCAGUCACACUGGAACUGAGACACGGUCCAGACUCCUACGGGAGGCAGCAGUGGGGAAUAUUGGACAAUGGGCGAAAGCCUGAUCCAUCCAUGCCGCGUGUGUGAAGAAGGCCUUCGGGUUGUAAAGCACUUUAAGCGAGGAGGAAGGGUUCUUAAUUAAUACUUAAGAGCAUUGACGUUACUCGCAGAAUAAGCACCGGCUAACUCUGUGCCAGCACCCGCGGUAAUACAGAGGGUGCAAGCGUUAAUCGGAAUUACUGGGCGUAAAGCGCGCGUAGGCGGUUGUAUAAGUUGGAUGUGAUAUCCCUGGGCUUAACCUAGGCACUGCAUUCAAACUGUACAGCUAGAGUGUAUGAGAGGAAGGUAGAAUUACCAGGUGUACCUGUGAAAUGCGUAGAGAUCUGGAGGAAUACCGAUGGCGACGGCAGCCUGUCUGGCCUAACACUGACGCUGAUGUGCGACAGCAUGGGGAGCAAACAGAGAUUAGAUACCCUGAUAGUCCAUGCUCGUCAAACGAUGUCUACU